UACGUAGGGACCUAGCGUUGUCCGGAAUCAUUGGGCGUAAAGCGCGCGUAGGCGGCCCGGUAAGUCCGUUGUAAAAGUCGAAGGCUCAACCUUCGAAAGCCGAUGGAUACUGCCGGGCUAGAGUACGGAAGAGGCGAGUAGAAUUCCUGGUGUAGCGGUGGAAUGCGCAGAUAUCAGGAGGAAUACCCAUAGCGAGGGCAGCUCGCUGGGACGUUACUGACGCUGAGGCGCGAAAGCGUGGGGAGCGAACAGG
This 253-nucleotide ribosomal RNA is filed under the name uncultured bacterium. RNAcentral's name for it is "partial 16S ribosomal RNA". It matches the Rfam family "Bacterial small subunit ribosomal RNA", at positions 524 to 776 of the family's 1533-position model. The record is from RNAcentral.